UGGAAGCUUCAAGGGCUGGAAAGGUAUUUUAUUGAAUCAUUGUCAUGCUUUAUUGUUAGUGCUUGUGUGAAAAGGCUGAUGAAAUAGAUGUUCACAGGUUUUAGUAUCUUGAUAAUUGUAGCAUAGUAGAAGGCCUAUUUGUGGGAGACUGGGACCCUUAACAAUAGCUGUGUCCAUAAUGAAUAGCUCAAUUUCAGGUGCUAUUAUAUUAAAAGGGAAAUGGAAUGCAUACAAUUUUUCUAACGCUUUAAGAGAAUAAUGGAAUUAUUGUCUUUCUGUAGGCCAUUAUUUUAAUGCACUAUUAACUGAAAACUCAUGAAUGUGUCCUUUGUCCUAAGAAUGUUUAAAAUUUAUUGUAAAUUUUGUAAAUUGGAAAGUUAGUGGAAUCCAUGAAUUUCAACAUAUCCUGUUAAAAAUUUGCAUAUUAUAGUUUGUAAAUGAUCAUUACCAUGAUAUUCUAUGAGGCACAGAAACACACAUGACAAUAAAAGUUGGGUUGAUGACAAAUGCAAUAAAAAUGGCAGCACUGCUGAUGGAGAUGGUUGUGAUAUUGCUUGUUUCAGUCACCCCAAAAGCAAUGAUUGAUGAGCCACAAAAAAAUUUCCUAGUGAAAAACUAAUGAGGAAGUAGUACUAUUGUCAGUGGUGGUUAUAGUAUUAAUGGUGUUAAUUAUCUUGAUAUUGCUAGUGUCAAUAAUGGUAGCUGCAGAGAUACAGUACUGAUGAAGAAAGAAAUUGAUACUACAGGCAAGAAUAGUGGUGAUGAAGGUGGCAAUGUUCAUCAUGAUUGUUGUGAAUUAGCUUAUUACAAUUUAUGGUAAUAGAGAUGAUGUUGAUGUUAGGAAAGGCUGAGUUUGUAACAAAGAGUGGUAGGAACAGUAAUAGAGAUGGCCAUGGCAAAGGUGGUGAUUAUGGUGCUUAGUGAAUGGAGGUGGUAAAUUCAGGAAUCUUCAGUUUAUAAGAUUGCGUUUGUUCAUCUGAAAGUUGUGCAAGUACAAAAUCCUAACAUUGAUGACAGAUAUGACUUUGAUGGUGGUUUGCCAAUGCUUGAAGGGCUCAAUAAAUUACCUAUAUCUUAAUUUCCCUUUUUGAAAUGUGCAGGUGUUGAUGGAAUAUCUGGCUGUGAGUUAACCUGACAUUAUACUAGUAAUACUUACAGAAAUUUUGUCCUGGAAUAAUCUUGGGAUCUUAGUACCAUUGAAUGUUUUUAAUGGGGUUCGGUAUAAUUGUUCUCUGCAAGGAAACUACCUUCUGUUCUCUGGAUGAUGAUGAUGAUUAAUAUUUGUUAAAAUUAUUAAGGAUGGAUGUGAUUGCUGUGAGGUUAAUGUGGCGUGCACACUUUUCUUACAGAUGAUAGUUUCUAGCGAAAAACAACUUAUAAUGCAUGGUUAUAUCUAUCGGAAAAUUUUAAUAACUAUUAUGUUUGCAGGGAGAACCGAUAGAAAUGACUUGGAAGCACUUGG
Molecule: unclassified non-coding RNA, 1462 nt
Filed under: Hevea brasiliensis (rubber tree)
Lineage: Eukaryota; Viridiplantae; Streptophyta; Magnoliopsida; Malpighiales; Euphorbiaceae
Source: RNAcentral